GUUGACCUCGGAUCAGGA
Molecule: ribosomal RNA, 18 nt
Filed under: Geosmithia sp. MK1740D4
Lineage: Eukaryota; Fungi; Ascomycota; Sordariomycetes; Hypocreales; Bionectriaceae
Description: partial 28S ribosomal RNA
Source: RNAcentral